Non-coding RNA from Styela clava, 190 nucleotides. The record is from RefSeq and is a predicted model, not a curated record. Lineage: Eukaryota; Metazoa; Chordata; Ascidiacea; Stolidobranchia; Styelidae.
CUCGGAAAGAAAGAAUCGAAAAAUCAGUUGGUAUAACAUCGCCAUAACUACAGCUGUCAUCUUAACUUUUGGACUAGCAGUAUGCGGAAUGAUUUUGGUCGUUCAGAAUAACAACGGAAUCCAAAAACUAAUGGAGGCAUUGGAAGUGGAAAUUGAGAAUAUCACGACCAAAUUGAUGCACAGUCAUGAA